This 384-nucleotide ribosomal RNA is filed under the name uncultured prokaryote. Its description in RNAcentral is "bacterial SSU rRNA". It matches the Rfam family "Archaeal small subunit ribosomal RNA", at positions 341 to 725 of the family's 1478-position model. The record is from RNAcentral.
GCGAAAACUUUACAAUGCUGGCAACAGCGAUAAGGGAACCUCGAGUGCCAGGUUACAAAUCUGGCUGUCGAGAUGCCUAAAAAUCAUUUCAUAGCAAGGGCCGGGCAAGACCGGUUCCAGCCGCCGCGGUAACACCGGCGGCUCGAGUGGUAACCGUUAUUAUUGGGUCUAAAGGGUCUGUAGCCGGCCGGAUAAGUCUCUUGAGAAAUCUGGCAGCUUAACUGUCAGGCUUUCAGGAGAUACUGUCUGGCUCGAGGCCGGGAGAGGUGAGAGGUACUUCAGGGGUAGGGGUGAAAUCUUGUAAUCCUUGAAGGACCACCAGUGGCGAAGGCGUCUAACCAGAACGGACCUGACGGCAAGGGACGAAAGCUAGGGGCACGAACC